AUGAACGCUGGCGGCGUGCCUCAUCCAUGCAAGUCGAGCGAACAGACGAGGAGCUUGCUCCUCUGACGUUAGCGGCGGACGGGUGAGUAACACGUGGAUAACCUACCUAUAUGACUGGGAUAACUUCGGGAAACCGGAGCUAAUACCGGAUAAUAUAUUGAACCGCAUGGUUCAAUAGUGAAAGACGGUUUUGCUGUCACUUAUAGAUGGAUCCGCGCCGCAUUAGCUAGUUGGUAAGGUAACGGCUUACCAAGGCAACGAUGCGUAGCCGACCUGAGAGGGUGAUCGGCCACACUGGAACUGAGACACGGUCCAGACUCCUACGGGAGGCAGCAGUAGGGAAUCUUCCGCAAUGGGCGAAAGCCUGACGGAGCAACGCCGCGUGAGUGAUGAAGGUCUUCGGAUCGUAAAACUCUGUUAUUAGGGAAGAACAAAUGUGUAAGUAACUAUGCACGUCUUGACGGUACCUAAUCAGAAAGCCACGGCUAACUACGUG
This 496-nucleotide ribosomal RNA is filed under the name uncultured bacterium. RNAcentral's name for it is "partial 16S ribosomal RNA". It matches the Rfam family "Bacterial small subunit ribosomal RNA", at positions 29 to 507 of the family's 1533-position model. The record is from RNAcentral.